GGAGAAGUGGCAGAGUGGUUGAAUGCGCUGGUCUCGAAAACCGGUAUUGUGCGUAAGCGUAAUCGAGGGUUCGAAUCCCUCCUUCUCCU
Molecule: transfer RNA, 89 nt
Filed under: Bacteroidota bacterium
Lineage: Bacteria; Pseudomonadati; Bacteroidota
Also listed under: 1 other name
Description: Bacteroidetes bacterium (activated sludge metagenome) tRNA-Ser
Rfam family: tRNA
About the family: Transfer RNA (tRNA) molecules are approximately 80 nucleotides in length. Their secondary structure includes four short double-helical elements and three loops (D, anti-codon, and T loops). Further hydrogen bonds mediate the characteristic L-shaped molecular structure. tRNAs have two regions of fundamental functional importance: the anti-codon, which is responsible for specific mRNA codon recognition, and the 3' end, to which the tRNAs corresponding amino acid is attached (by aminoacyl-tRNA synthetases). tRNAs cope with the degeneracy of the genetic code in two manners: having more than one tRNA (with a specific anti-codon) for a particular amino acid; and 'wobble' base-pairing, i.e. permitting non-standard base-pairing at the 3rd anti-codon position.
Source: RNAcentral